RNAcentral lists this ribosomal RNA (897 nucleotides) under uncultured bacterium. RNAcentral's name for it is "bacterial SSU rRNA". It matches the Rfam family "Bacterial small subunit ribosomal RNA", at positions 8 to 902 of the family's 1533-position model. The record is from RNAcentral.
AGAGUUUGAUCCUGGCUCAGGACGAACGCUGGCGGCGUGCCUAACACAUGCAAGUCGAACGGAACUGUUUUGAAAGAUUUCUUCGGAAUGAAUUUGAUUUAGUUUAGUGGCGGACGGGUGAGUAACGCGUGAGUAACCUGCCUCCAAGAGGGGGAUAACAUUCUGAAAAGAAUGCUAAUACCGCAUGACAUAUCGGAACCACAUGGUUCUGAUAUCAAAGAUUUUAUCGCUUGAAGAUGGACUCGCGUCCGAUUAGUUAGUUGGUGAGGUAACGGCUCACCAAGACCGCGAUCGGUAGCCGGACUGAGAGGUUGAACGGCCACAUUGGGACUGAGACACGGCCCAGACUCCUACGGGAGGCAGCAGUGGGGGAUAUUGCGCAAUGGGGGCAACCCUGACGCAGCAACGCCGCGUGAAGGAUGAAGGUUUUCGGAUUGUAAACUUCUUUUAUUAAGGACGAAAAAUGACGGUACUUAAUGAAUAAGCUCCGGCUAACUACGUGCCAGCAGCCGCGGUAAUACGUAGGGAGCAAGCGUUGUCCGGAUUUACUGGGUGUAAAGGGUGCGUAGGCGGCUUUGCAAGUCAGAUGUGAAAUCUAUGGGCUCAACCCAUAAACUGCAUUUGAAACUGUAGAGCUUGAGUGAAGUAGAGGCAGGCGGAAUUCCCCGUGUAGCGGUGAAAUGCGUAGAGAUGGGGAGGAACACCAGUGGCGAAGGCGGCCUGCUGGGCUUUAACUGACGCUGAGGCACGAAAGCGUGGGUAGCAAACAGGAUUAGAUACCCUGGUAGUCCACGCUGUAAACGAUGAUUACUAGGUGUGGGGGGUCUGACCCCUUCCGUGCCGGAGUUAACACAAUAAGUAAUCCACCUGGGGAGUACGGCCGCAAGGUUGAAACUA